GGCUUCGUAGCUCAGCUGGUAGAGAGCUUGCAGAGUUUGCGCAUCGUGUUUCUGUCGCUGGUUCGAAUCCAGCCGGAGCCU
Molecule: non-coding RNA, 81 nt
Organism: Paragonimus kellicotti
Lineage: Eukaryota; Metazoa; Platyhelminthes; Trematoda; Plagiorchiida; Troglotrematidae
Source: the annotation of a GenBank genome assembly